GCCGGCUUAGCUCAGUUGGUAGAGCAGUUGACUUGUAAUCAGCAGGUCGUCGGUUCAAAUCCGACAGCCGGCUCCA
RNAcentral lists this transfer RNA (76 nucleotides) under bioreactor metagenome. RNAcentral describes it as "tRNA-Thr". It matches the Rfam family "tRNA". From Rfam's summary of the family: Transfer RNA (tRNA) molecules are approximately 80 nucleotides in length. Their secondary structure includes four short double-helical elements and three loops (D, anti-codon, and T loops). Further hydrogen bonds mediate the characteristic L-shaped molecular structure. tRNAs have two regions of fundamental functional importance: the anti-codon, which is responsible for specific mRNA codon recognition, and the 3' end, to which the tRNAs corresponding amino acid is attached (by aminoacyl-tRNA synthetases). tRNAs cope with the degeneracy of the genetic code in two manners: having more than one tRNA (with a specific anti-codon) for a particular amino acid; and 'wobble' base-pairing, i.e. permitting non-standard base-pairing at the 3rd anti-codon position. The record is from RNAcentral.